This 70-nucleotide transfer RNA is filed under the name Immersiella caudata. Its description in RNAcentral is "Cercophora caudata tRNA". It matches the Rfam family "tRNA". From Rfam's summary of the family: Transfer RNA (tRNA) molecules are approximately 80 nucleotides in length. The record is from Rfam by way of RNAcentral. Lineage: Eukaryota; Fungi; Ascomycota; Sordariomycetes; Sordariales; Lasiosphaeriaceae.
AGCUUAGUAGCUCAGGGGAAGUGCCGGGCUCGUAACCCGGAGGUCACCAGAUCGAAACCAGUCUAAGCUA